GGAAGAUUAUAUGAGGAAGCCACCAAAAAGCAUUUAAAUGAAUAUGCAGAAGCCGGGUUACGUACACUAGCAUUUGCUUACAGAAAGCUUGACAUUUCUGAAUAUUCUUCUUGGAACGGUGAAUUUUCAAAAGCCAAAACUUCCAUCGGUGGUGAACGAGACACAAUGCUUGAACAUUUAUCUGACAUAAUGGAAAAAGACCUAAUUCUUGUUGGCGCAACCGCCGUGGAGGAUAAACUUCAGCAAGGGGUACCCCAAUGUAUUGAUAAACUGGCACAAGCUGGUUUAAAACUAUGGGUUCUUACUGGCGAUAAGAUGGAAACCGCAAUCAACAUAGGAUUUGCUUGUAGUUUACUUCGGCAAGGGAUGAAGC
Molecule: long non-coding RNA, 373 nt
Organism: Helianthus annuus (common sunflower)
Lineage: Eukaryota; Viridiplantae; Streptophyta; Magnoliopsida; Asterales; Asteraceae
Exons: 3
Source: RefSeq, a predicted model, not a curated record